This 383-nucleotide ribosomal RNA is filed under the name uncultured eukaryote. RNAcentral's name for it is "partial 18S ribosomal RNA". It matches the Rfam family "Eukaryotic small subunit ribosomal RNA", at positions 592 to 976 of the family's 1831-position model. The record is from RNAcentral.
CAAUAGCGUAUAUUAAAGUUGUUGCAGUUAAAAAGCUCGUAGUUGGAUUUCUGGUAGGAGUGACCGUUCCGAACUUGAUUGUUCGUGUAUUGUGUUUUCUCCAGCCAUCCUUGUGGAGAACUUUUCUUGCAUUAAUUUGUAGGGAUUGGGACCCGCAUCGUUUACUGUGAAAAAAUUAGAGUGUUUAAAGCAGGCAAUCGCUUGAAUACAUUAGCAUGGAAUAAUAAGAUAGGACUUUGGUACUAUUUUGUUGGUUUGCAUACCAAAUUAAUGAUCAACAGGAACAGUUUGAGGAUAUUCGUAUGAACAUGUCAGAGGUGAAAUUCUUGGAUUUUGAUCAGACGAACUACUGCGAAAGCAUUUAUCAAGGAUGUUUUUAUUAA